GGUCCCAUGGUGUAGCGGUUAGCACCUCGGACUCUGAAUCUUGAGACCCGAGUAAGAAUCUCGGUGGGACCU
Molecule: transfer RNA, 72 nt
Filed under: Hofstenia miamia
Lineage: Eukaryota; Metazoa; Xenacoelomorpha; Acoela; Hofsteniidae
Description: tRNA-Gln for anticodon CUG
Rfam family: tRNA
About the family: Transfer RNA (tRNA) molecules are approximately 80 nucleotides in length. Their secondary structure includes four short double-helical elements and three loops (D, anti-codon, and T loops).
Source: RNAcentral